Molecule: non-coding RNA, 3020 nt
Organism: Phalacrocorax carbo (great cormorant)
Lineage: Eukaryota; Metazoa; Chordata; Aves; Suliformes; Phalacrocoracidae
Source: RefSeq, a predicted model, not a curated record
CGGACGAGCGCACCCAUCGCGUUGCUCCCAUGGGCCAAAUCAGCUCCCUUCUGAGUUGGUGAAAAAUGUUCUUGGCAUUGCUGAGAUGAGGUUUUGACCUUCGUUUUGGAGAGGAGGAGCAGGAUCCUAACCGUUAGAUUUAUUUUCAAGCGCAAUGGAAAGCCCUGGCUAGAGGGAGGCAGGAUCGUCCCAGGCAGCGGAGCAAAGCUCGAGGUCUGAAGGAUUUCCUUGUGCACAGGAGAAGGUCAAAAGUACAUUUUAGGGCGCUUUUCACAAGCGAUCGUCCUCCCGACAUGGCGGCUGAGGGUGAGAUGUUUCAGCAGUGACUCAGAGGAAGAAGGUAAAUAAACACUUUUUUAUUUCAAACACAGGAUUAAAUUCCUUCAUGUCUGGAUCAUUCAAGGUAAAGCUCCUGUAAUCUCCUGGUCGUGAUCCGCAGCCCGUCGUCUGGUGGCUGCUGCCCCCGGAGCGGAUGGGACAGCAGAGGGACACGGCGGGGACGCGGGAGGCGGCGCAGAGGGCGAGACGCGGCCGGGAGCGGAGCUGGGCACCGGGGCUGCAGCUCCGUCCGCGACGCAGCUCAUGAGGAAGCUGGCGAGGAUCGUCCCUAGGUCAGUGAAAUCGUUCUGGGGGGUCACAGACUGAAGCUGAGGGGGCUGAGAUUUUACCUCGACUGCGUUGCAGGGGGGAGGCUGAGAAACAAUAUUGUGAGAAAUACAACUGUGGUAAGGGAGACCCCAACUCAAAGCCGCUGCAUCUGCAUUUGCACGUAUUUCUGCAUGCUCUGGAGAACCACGUUUUGUACCAAGUUCUCAUCCGUGCUGUCAAGUGUCCAUAGAACAACAUGCUCCUGCUCCCACCAGGUGCUAAAACCCCUCUCUCCCGAUCACGGGGGACAAAAAUAUAAACGGGGAUCAUUCCUGGAAGCUUCCCCUGCAGUUUUGCGGCGCCCCGAGCAGGCAGCGAGGGCAGGCGCGUGGCACGAGCAUCGCCGAGGGCCCGUGCUGGCUGCUGGGGCGAGCUGCAGAGCGAAGCCUCCGCCGUGAGCCGCCCCAGCCCAGCCAGCCCGGCUCGAGAAGGGCUGCGGCUCUCCGGCACAGCGGCGGCAGCGGGUGGAAACACGGGGCUGGCUCGGGGCUGCCAAAACGUUGGCAGGUUUGGCUGAGCCCGGCGGGAGGCAGGAGCCGCCCUGGGGCAGAGGGAAGGUGAUGGGACUGCAUGAGCAGGCAGCUUCUGCAGAAGCAAAUGCCCUGCAGCCAUGAACAUCCACGCACUGCCCGUGGGGAUGAUCUUCAUCCAUGGUACUUGCUUAUAAGAGAGGGGUGGUUUUUUUAAUUGCUUUUGUUGCUUUCUACCUUUUCUUCACCAAUUUUCCAAGAUGCUUCAGGUAAGCCUCGCCUGAGAUGUGGUGGUUUCAUUGGAGGAAUGAUGGGUCCAUCCAGACGCUCAGCAGAUGCUCCAAAUGUUUCUCCACUUGAUUUUUGGACAGGACAGUUAAUCCACAGCGGCUGCGUCCCUGCCGAAGCGUCUCAGCUGCCAACGACUCGUGCCGAGGGCUGCGCCGGCGCUGCCCAGGCUCACGGGGCCGCAGAGGCGGGGCAGAGCCCGAGGACGCUGACCGUGCCCGCGAGGUUCCGCCCUUCGCAGCGACGGUGGCGCCUUCUGGGGCAAACCCAUCGACGGCUACGAAGGCUGAGCCGUGCCGGGUGUUUGGCCUCGCUGAGGACCUAUUUUGCCCGUAUCAGAGUAAAGGAGAAGGCUGGAUUUGCAGUUCUUGGAAAUUCUGGUUCAUCGGACACCCGGCCGGUCGGUUCAGUCGGGUCACGCUUCCAAGGUCCCUUCCAGCUUUGACCUCCUUCUGGCUCCCCUGAGGAUGGGGACUGCGUCCCCCGGGACAUUUCCCCUGCGUGAGAGCUGGAAAUGGGCACAAGCCAUGCAAGCCGCGACCCAAAGACCUCUGAAGCUGGAGGAGGAAGGAGACAAGAGGAGGAGGAGGAGGAGAAGGAUGCCAUCUACUCAGAAUACGUUGGAGACUGCUGACCAGCUGAACUCACGUGCUGCUGCUUUGCCCCAGUUUACCUGCUCUUCACUGGGCUGUCUGGAGGUACAGCGUUGUGUAAAAUGUUUGGAGAGCAUGGGGUGACUCUGCAAGGUGCCAUUUAUUUCUUUCCAAGCUCUGGGAUGUCCCCACCGAGCCCGACGCCGUACAGGGCAGCGCACAACGUGCUGCCUGCGACUUCUGCUGCUCUUAGUCGUGUUUCUGAAAUCGGUGGAAAGCUUAACAGAAACGUUGGCCCAAGGUUAACAGGGCCAGGCAGAAAAGCUGUCUGUCCCGCGGGGACUCCACGUGUCGCUGCGGGCAUGGCUGGCUCUGGCUAUAUCAACACACAGAUCAGGCAAAAUUGGCACAGAGGGAAAUAAUAAACUUGCUGAAAAUUUAAAAAUACCGCUGUACUGUAAUCUCCUAAAAUACCAUUGUAAUGCUAAUGCUGUUGUUAGGCGCUGUUUUAUGGACCUUUAAUUAAGAAUACUGUAGUGGCUUUCGAUUUUGAAAAGCCAUCAUUGUACAACCCACGUAUCCCAGAUUUUAAAACUCCAGGGUUAUUUGGGGACCUGGCUCGUGACUUCUGCACAGUCUGGAUGGGCGGUUUGACUGCGUCCCUGCAGCGGCCGGUCAGCGUAUUGCCUGGUGUACACGAUGCAACGACAGAGAGAGCUCCCAUGAUUAUGCCUUCAGGUCAAUUCUGUUUCCAGAUGAAGUGUUGUAAAAUGUUAUCCUAUUUUUGUUCCUGUGUCGUAACAUGAGCAGAGGCCCUAGAAUUUAAUUAACCCAUCAUGAAACUGUUGAUUCAUAAUCAGAGCCGCAGGGUUUGAAAGCACAGAAGGGAACAUGCAGGCUUGUGUCCUCCUUUUCAGCAGGCACGAGUAAAAGCUGCCUCUCCAGAAGCUGCUGAGCGGCCUCGGGGUUUGACAGGAGGGGUGCUGCUGCGUGGGCGUAGGCUCCAGCCCUGCUUUCUAAA